GGAUUAGGAUCGUAGGUGACCUGCGGAGGAUCAUUACAGUAUUCUUUUGCCAGCGCUUAACUGCGCGGCGAAAAACCUUACACACAGUGUCUUUUUGAUACAGAACUCUUGCUUUGGUUUGGCCUAGAGAUAGGUUGGGCCAGAGGUUUAACAAAACACAAUUUAAUUAUUUUUACAGUUAGUCAAAUUUUGAAUUAAUCUUCAAAACUUUCAACAACGGAUCUCUUGGUUCUCGCAUCGAUGAAGAACACAA
RNAcentral lists this unclassified non-coding RNA (253 nucleotides) under uncultured Meyerozyma. RNAcentral's name for it is "sequence contains ITS1, 5.8S rRNA gene and ITS2". The stretch from base 206 to 253 matches the Rfam family "5.8S ribosomal RNA", at positions 1 to 48 of the family's 154-position model. Lineage: Eukaryota; Fungi; Ascomycota; Pichiomycetes; Serinales; Debaryomycetaceae. The record is from RNAcentral.